Sander lucioperca (pikeperch) is the source of this 142-nucleotide long non-coding RNA. RefSeq lists it as uncharacterized. Lineage: Eukaryota; Metazoa; Chordata; Actinopteri; Perciformes; Percidae. The transcript is spliced from 3 exons. The record is from RefSeq and is a predicted model, not a curated record.
UGGCGAUCGCCCCUAUUUUAAACAAUAAAGAAAGUAAGACAUCUUUUUCUUAUACAUAGUUUAGUACUAUUCUUUCUGGCAGAAUUCAUCAUUAUGAUCAACUUAAUUAUUUCCUGGAUUUUUGUCAAAUUUUGAGGAAAAU